AACGAACGCUGGCGGCAUGCCUAACACAUGCAAGUCGAACGAGACCUUCGGGUCUUGUGGCGCACGGGUGCGUAACGCGUGGGAACCUGCCCUUAGGUUCGGAAUAACUCCCCGAAAGGGGUGCUAAUACCGGAUAAUGUCUUCGGACCAAAGAUUUAUCGCCUUUGGAUGGGCCCGCGUUGGAUUAGCUAGUUGGUAGGGUAAAAGCCUACCAAGGCGACGAUCCAUAGCUGGUCUGAGAGAAUGAUCAGCCACACUGGGACUGAGACACGGCCGAGACUCCUACGGGAGGCAGCAGUGGGGAAUAUUGGACAAUGGGCGAAAGCCUGAUCCAGCAAUGCCGCGUGAGUGAUGAAGGCCUUAGGGUUGUAAAGCUCUUUUACCCGGGAUGAUAAUGACAGUACCGGGAGAAUAAGCUCCGGCUAACUCCGUG
This 433-nucleotide ribosomal RNA is filed under the name uncultured bacterium. Its description in RNAcentral is "partial 16S ribosomal RNA". It matches the Rfam family "Bacterial small subunit ribosomal RNA", at positions 29 to 507 of the family's 1533-position model. The record is from RNAcentral.